This 66-nucleotide transfer RNA is filed under the name uncultured Gemmatimonadota bacterium. RNAcentral's name for it is "uncultured Gemmatimonadetes bacterium tRNA-Pseudo-GCA". Lineage: Bacteria; Pseudomonadati; Gemmatimonadota. The record is from RNAcentral.
GGGCCGAUGGCGGAAGGUUAACGACUGCAACUCGAGAGGUCGCGGGUUCGAGUCCCGCCAGGUCCA